GGGCAGUGCGUUUAGUUCUAAGAGGAAAGGCCUGUGAAAGGCAGAGCUUUGGCGCAGUAACCACACGACGCGCUCCGUCGCCAUUGUCCUGUAUGGGAGCCCAGGAGGAGCUCGCGCGACCAGGAGGCGCGGCCCCUUUAAAAGUGCCCACGCGGCGGAAAGGUAAGGAGUGGUACGGUGCGGCUGGGAGCGCGCGCGCGCCAAGCCCCGUCCAGUCUCUUUGUAUGCAUGGCGGUGCCCGACUGCAGACUCAAACGGCAUUUACCACCGGUCUUGUGACAAUUUAUGAGGCGGGUAAAAAAAAAAAAAAAAAAAAAGGCUGAAGAGAAAGUCCGUGUUUUGCUACAAACAGCCUCAAAAAUAACGCCGCAGCGCUCGUGGUUUACUUACCCGCUGGGGGGGAGAAGAAGCAAAUACCAGAGCACAUUGAGGACUCCCUUCUGCCGCCGUUUGCUGCAGGCGACGUCACGCCUCCUCAGGACACCGGGGGCGGCCGCUUUUGCUGAUCUUAGCAUCUUCGCAGCUUUUUUUUUUUUUUUUUCCAGAGGGAUGCUUAUGGGGGAAGGAUAGAGCACCAGCGUCCACGGUAGUGUUUAACCCCCAGUCCUCGGCCUCCUUGGACGCGGCAGCGGCACACCUAUUGAUAUUGUUGAGAGCGGACUCGCCCGCAUCCCGCCUCCCCCCCCCCCUUUCCCUCCCGCGCGCCGUUCCCACGCGCCAGUUGCGGGAAGGAUGAUGGUUGCUGCAUAGCGGCACCUGCGAUGACCGACUGGGAGUGGAAGCGCUUGGGGUCCGUGGUACUGUGAAGGGACGAGACCCGAGAGUUUGACGCAGACGUUUGUGCGCGCGCGUCUGCUUUUUUAUUAUAUUUCUGAGAAGUAAACAUCUACAGAGAACUCCGCGGCGACCCCCCGCUAACGGAUAUCGCCGGGUUUAGCUGAAGGUGACACCCUAUCCGCAGGUAAGACACUUUUCUUUAAUACUACUCGCAAAAUUAAGAUUCGCUGAAGAUGACUGGAAAGGUAAUUUAUGGCCUUUUUCAACAGGAUUGCCAUCUGAAUGAGCGCGCUGCAGUAAAUCAGGGUGCUAAUGAUCAUUAUCGUUAUAAUAUUCUCAGAGGUGCGCAAAAUUCCUGAUUUGCAGUUACAUCCGCACGGAUUAUUAGUGCGUUAACUUACUAAAAGUAUAAUGCUCGUUCAAAGUUUGAAAGUUUACAGCCGAUGGUAAGUUUUAUACAGAUUUUAUUCAUUUUCCAGAUGCAGAAUAUAUAUACAUGCAUAUAUAUAUAUUAAUAUUAAUAGCUGAU
RNAcentral lists this long non-coding RNA (1306 nucleotides) under Scleropages formosus (Asian bonytongue). RNAcentral describes it as "lncRNA (ENSSFOG00015029359.1)". The record is from RNAcentral. Lineage: Eukaryota; Metazoa; Chordata; Actinopteri; Osteoglossiformes; Osteoglossidae.